GGGUAAGUAGGUUGGUCGUGCCACCGGUACGUACUGGUCUCACUGAUUCCUCCUUCCUGAAGAACCGUAAUGCCAUUAAUUUGGUGUUGCGGGGAAACAGGACUGUUACUUUGAAAAAAUUAGAGUGUUUAGAGCAAGCUAACGCUUGAAUACAUUAGCAUGGAAUAAUGAAAUAGGACGAUCGAUCCUAUUUUGUUGGUUUCUAGGAUUGGCGUA
RNAcentral lists this ribosomal RNA (216 nucleotides) under Glomeromycotina sp. RNAcentral describes it as "partial small subunit ribosomal RNA". The stretch from base 40 to 216 matches the Rfam family "Eukaryotic small subunit ribosomal RNA", at positions 686 to 864 of the family's 1831-position model. The record is from RNAcentral. Lineage: Eukaryota; Fungi; Glomeromycota.